GUAGACAUAGUUUAAAUAAAAUGUUAGAUUGUGAUUCUAGCGAUAGGAGAUAAACACUUCUUGUCUACC
This 69-nucleotide transfer RNA is filed under the name Albula vulpes (bonefish). RNAcentral's name for it is "tRNA-His". It matches the Rfam family "tRNA". Rfam says of the family: Transfer RNA (tRNA) molecules are approximately 80 nucleotides in length. Their secondary structure includes four short double-helical elements and three loops (D, anti-codon, and T loops). The record is from RNAcentral. Lineage: Eukaryota; Metazoa; Chordata; Actinopteri; Albuliformes; Albulidae.